This 4474-nucleotide long non-coding RNA is filed under the name Salmo salar (Atlantic salmon). Its description in RNAcentral is "lncRNA (ENSSSAG00000105052.1)". Lineage: Eukaryota; Metazoa; Chordata; Actinopteri; Salmoniformes; Salmonidae. The record is from RNAcentral.
CACACACAAACACUAUUGUGUUUUUUAAGUUUUUGUCCUCCAGACAGUCUAGUCUAGUGGGCGUGGUGACAGGUGUUCUACAGGGUCUGUUAUGAACGAGACACAGACAGACAGUAGUGUAGUGGGCUGCUCUCUCAUGCUAACACUAAGAAGAGAUACGCAUGUUCCAGACGGCUGUUGUGAAUGAAUCAUUCCUUUGCUGUUUCCUGGACUGGUAAUCCUAUUUAUUUUUCUUCAAAUUCCCCUUAUAGAUGCUCAGUGGUACGUUGUACAUUUUAGGACAUCCCUACUCCGUAGGAGGUCCUAAAAUGUACACCGUGCAGCAUACCUUAAAGUGUUACCAAGCAAUGAUCUGAUGCAUAGAACAUACAUGUUUCUCCCCAGCCCUGGGCACGAGGAGGUAAAGGAACUCUGUAUCAAAGCUGAGAGAUACUGAGUGUAGCUGCUAUGUGUGCAGUGUGACAGCCUGGUUUCAAGAUGUCGUGCAGACACUCCCAGCGCUACACAUGUUUUACUGGUGGCAUUCACUAUGUUCCCCUGCUAUUUGACAGGAAAACCCCAGCUUGUCAUAUAUCAGUUUCUGUUGUAAAAAAAAUAUUUAAAACUUUUUUAAGUCAUCAUUUUCUAUUCUUCAUGACUGUCUUUGCCAGGGAUUACUGUAGAUUGAUAGGAAUCAUGUCACCAGGUGUAAACUGGGUGUUGAACAGGUGUCAGUGUGAACAGGUGUCAGUGUGAACAGGUGUCAUUGUGAACAGGUGUCUUUGUGAACAGGUGUCUGUGGGAACAGGUGUCAGUGUGAACAGGUGUCAGUGUGAACAGGUGUCAGUGUGAACAGGUGUCUGUGGGAACAGGUGUCAUUGUGAACAGGUGUCAGUGUGAACAGGUGUCAUUGUGAACAGGUGUCAGUGUGAACAGGUGUCAGUGUGAAAAGGUGUCAGUGUGAACAGGUGCUGAACAUCCUCACAUCAAAGAUAGGAACUGAAUGACACUGAUCAUUACAGUAAAGUAAACUGGGAGCAAGAACAUACAAGGUAUAUGUGGUGUGUGUGUGUGUGUGUGUGUGUGUGUGUGUGUGUGUGUGUGUGUGUGUGUGUGUGUGUGUGUGUGUGUGUGUGUGUGUGUGUGUGUGUGUGUGUGUGUGUUUGCUCCAUACUCCUCCAUACUCUUCCAUACUGCUCCAUACUCCUCCAUACUCCUCCAUACUGCUCCAUACUCCUCCAUACUCAUCCAUACUGCUCUCCCUCCAGCUGGUUGAAAUAGGAUUUUUACUCAUUCACCCUUUACUCUGGAUGUAGCCUAGCUGUGGCAGCUCCAUCCAAUAACAGGGUUCAGUAAUGAAAACACACUGGUCACAGUCCACAACCGCACCAAAAGUGGAAACAAAUUGUCACGCCCUGACCUGAGAGAGACGGUUUAUUUCUCUAUGUGGUUAGGUCAGGGUGUGGGGUGGGCAUUCUAUGUUUUGUAUUUCUUUGUGUUGGGCCGAGUAGGGUUCCUAAUCAGAGGCAGCUGUCUAUCAUUGUCUCUGAUUAGGAAUCAUACUUAGGCAGCCUUUUCCCACCUGUGUGUGUUGGGUAGUUGUUUUCUGUUUUGUGUUUUACCUGACAGAACUGUGCACUUUCGUUUCCAUUGUUUAUAAUUUUGUUUAAGUGUUCUGAGUAAAACUAAAUAUCAAGAUGAACACUUACCACGCUGCACCUUGGUCCCCUCAUUGCGACGGUUGUUACAGAACUACCCACCACAACUGGAUCAAGCAGGAGAUGGAUUCCUGGUCUCUGGAAGAGUGGGAGGAGAGAAUAGACUGGACUUGGGGGCAAGUAUUGGACAGAUAUAGAAACCUGCCAGGGAGGCAAGGAAGGAAGCACGAGAGGCAGCCCCCAAAAUAUUUUUUGGGGGGGCACACGGGUAGAUUGGCGGAGUCAGGGUUGAGACCUGAGCCAACACACCGUGCUUAUCGUGGUGAGCAUGUGCCUGCUUCUCGCACUCUCCCUCCAGUGCGCCUCCACAGCCCUGUACGUCCUGUGCCUGCUCCUCGCACUCUCCCUCCAGUGAUUCUAUUCAGCCUGGUACGCCCUGUGCCUGCUCCACGUACCAGGCUGUCAGUACGUCUCCUCAGUCCGGUGAGACCCGUUCCAGCUCCACGAGAGAAGCCUCCAGUGAUGAUCCAUGGUCCGAAGCCUCCAGUGAUGAUCCAUGGCAUGAAGCCUCCAGUGAUGAUCCAUGGCCCAGAGCCUGUAGGGAUAAUCCAUGACAAGAAGUCUGUAGAGAUGAUCCAUGCCCGGAGCCUGUAGGGAUAAUCCAUGGCAAGAAGCCUGUAGAGAUGAACCAUGGCCCGGAGCCUGUAGGGAUGAUCCAUGGCAUGAAGCCUCCAGUGAUAAUCCAUGGCCCGGAGCCUCCAGUGAUGAUCCAUGGCACAAAGCCUCCAGUGAUGAUCCAUGGUGCAGAACCUGUAGUGUUGAUCCAUGGCACGGAGCCUGCAGCGACGGUCCCCAGUCCGGAACCUACAGCGACGCUCCCCAGUCCGGAACCUUCAGCGACGCUCCCCAGUCUGGAGGCUCCAGCGACGCUCCCCAGUCCGGAGCCUCCAGCGACGCUCCCCAGUCUGGAGGCUCCAGCGACGCUCCCCAGUCCGGAGGCUCCAGCGACGCUCCCCAGUCCGGAGCCUCCAGCGACGCUCCGCAGCCCGGAGCCUCCAGCGUCGGCCUGCAGCCCGGAACCUCCUGAGACGGCCUGCAGCCCGGAACCUCCUGAGACGGCCUGCAGCCCCGAGUCUUCAGUGGCGGCCUGCAGCCCAGAGUCUUCAGCGGCGGUCGGCAGUUCAGAGCCUCCGGCGAUGAUCCACGGUCUGGUUCCUCCGGCGACACAAAAGCGGGGGGAUCAGCGGGCGGUGUGGGGGCUACGCCCCGAACCAGAGCCGCCGCCUAGUAUAGAUGCCCACCCGGAUCCUCCCCUAUAGGUUCAGGUUUGCGGCCGGGAGUCCGCUCAUUUGGGGGGGGGGGUACUGUCACGCCCUGACCUGAGAGAGACGGUUUGUUUCUCUAUGUGGUUAGGUCAGGGUGUGGGGUGGGCAUUCUAUGUUUAGCAUUUUUUUGUGUUGGUCCGAGUAUGGUUCCUAAUCAGAGGCAGCUGUCUAUCGUUGUCUCUGAUUAGGAAUCAUACUUAGGCAGCCUUUUCCCACCUGUGUUUGUGGGGAGUUGUUUUGUAUUCGUUACCUGACGGAACUGUUGGCUUUUCGUUUUGUUCUUUGGCUCUAGUGUUUCAUUGUUUAAUAAAUGUCAUGAACACAUACCACGCUGCGCUUUGGUCCCCUUCCUCCAACGACGGCCGUAACACAAAUAAGAGAAUGUCGUCCAUGGUUGCAUCCCGAAGGUUACCCUAUUCCCUUUAUAGUUCACUACUUUUGACCAGGUUCUAUAGGGCUCUGGUCAAAAGUAGUGCACUAUAUAGGACAUAAGGGGCCAAGUGUUCUAGAUCAUGGAUACAGACAAUACAAACUUUUCCAUGGAAAGAAAUUACAUUUUGACUCUCUAUUUUCUACUUUUAACAGGGUCAGACUGCGGCAAAAAAUGUUACCUUACCAAUAACAUUGAGGGAAUGCUCUGGAAACGUUACACACUGACUUGGAACAAUCUGAAUGAACUCCCACACUUUGUUGGUCUGUGACUGUGUUUUACAGGAAGUCUUAUAUAUUGGUUGGAGUCUUUCCUUUAUCGCCCUCCAGUGUAAUACCACCACAUGGUGUUGGCAGGCGUUGAAGGCGAUGACGUUGGUGCUUUUCAGGGCCUGCUUGUGGCAGUCUUAAUCUCUCGCUAUAAUUCCUUGACCCAGUCCCCAGCGCUGGCUAGAUGAGGACACAGGCAUCAUAUUUUAUAUGCAGGGGUCAGAGUUCACAAGGGAGGUGCAGGAGUUCCGGUGCUUUGAGGCGUUUGUUGGAGGACAGAUCUCCCCGACCUUCCUCACACAUCCACAUCCUCCUCUCCCCCUCCUCACACACUCACGUCCUCCCACAGGUUUGACCUAUGACCUAUGACUGCUGGGGCCCCUGGCCUCCACGUCCCCUCAGCCUAUUGAUUCCCUGGUGAUGAACUUGACUCGAGGGGCCUCUGGGGACCACAGGGACAACAAUGAAAGGGACAUUGUCCUCUCUCUCAGAGAUAAAUUCCCCAACCAAACAAUAGCUUUGCACUUUCCCUUAUUCGCCCUAUUCAUUAAAACCAGCCACUUAUCUUGAGCUGUCCUGGUUCUUUUUCAGCAACUGAUUCAUGAGUGGGAAGUGAGGGGUAAUGCAUGCAUUUCCUGUCCAUGGGAGAAGACAAGGCCUAUUUACUCAGACUAAUAGCCGGAUGAUGAGAACUAUAUAUACCAGAAGACAGAGGCGUAUGUGGCGGCCAGCUGUGGCUGGCAACACGUUACUUUCUAUAUUAGAAAGAGACACAAGGUCAAGGGGAGACAGUCUGCACAUGAAACACUUAUC